CAGUGCAUCUGGACUUGGUUCAAGUGGCACCAGCCAAAUCCCUGCCUUACUGACCUCUCCCCUGGAGGAGCAGGAGCAGCGCUCAAGGCCGCCCUGGGAGGGCUGAGAGGCAGGCUCUGGACUGGGGACACAGGGAUAGCUGAGCCCCAGCUGGGGGUGGAAGCUGAGCCAGGGACAGUCACAGAGGAACAAGAUCAAGAUGCGCUUUAACUGAGAAGCCCCCAAGGCAGAGGCUGAGAAUCAGAAGACAUUUCAGCAGACAUCUACAAAUCUGAAGGACAAAACAUGGUUCAAGCAUCUGGGCACAGGCGGCUGGAUUGUACCAGUGUCCUUUACUGCAGUGACUGAACAUUCUAGGCACAGUAGAUUCAAGAAAUCUUGAGUUCAUUGGCUGCUCGGGCCACUGUAUCAGGUCCACCCGUGGCUCCAAAAUGGUCUCCUGGUCCGUGAUAGCAAAGAUCCA
RNAcentral lists this long non-coding RNA (463 nucleotides) under Homo sapiens (human). RNAcentral's name for it is "HSALNT0352446". Lineage: Eukaryota; Metazoa; Chordata; Mammalia; Primates; Hominidae. The record is from RNAcentral.